Molecule: long non-coding RNA, 977 nt
Organism: Corapipo altera (White-ruffed manakin)
Lineage: Eukaryota; Metazoa; Chordata; Aves; Passeriformes; Pipridae
Exons: 4
Source: RefSeq, a predicted model, not a curated record
GAGAGAAGGCGCCGCCUGGUGGACAGAGAGCGCGGUGCGGGCGGGGGAGCGCGGGGGGUGUCACAGGUUCUGGGGACACAGAGAGACCCCGAGGGGUCACAGGACAUGGCGACAGAGAGAACCUGGCAGGGGUCUCAGCUCACAGGGGUCUCAGGGGGUCGCAGGCCUUCAGGACACAAAGAGCCUGGGAUGGGUCACAGGCCCUGGGGGGGGGUCACAGGCCUUGGGGACAGAGAGAACCCAGUGGACUCAUCCCAUGACUCGGAAAAGGGCUGUCAUGGGGCUGAGAUCACCCCGGGAGCAGCGGCGGAGGUGGAGGCACAGGCUGACACUGCAGUUUUCCGGGCUGCUGGCGAAGAUUCCGGCUGUUUCCAUGGCACGGGGAGGCUCCCUGCAGCUCUACCUGACACCUCACCCGUGCCAUGGAAAAUGGGACGGGGUUUGAGCCUGUUGGCAGCGGAGGGGAGCGUCCAGGCAGGAGGAGCGAGUUUUCCAGGUGUGCACCUGGCUCUGACUCCAGGGAGGGAUGUUUGGAUCAACCACUAAACCAGCUCCGCUCGUUUCCACGGCGUUCCCAGCUCAGGGUUCACUUAUCACACAAACAGGCAAAGUCCUCUGGCUUUUACCACUACAUUUGACAUCCCUCAACCCUGCUUCCCAGUGCAUUUGGGAAUGACCAGAAUUAGGAAGAAGGUGACCAACCCUCUCUGCUCUCACACCUGCCCAGCUCUGAGCAGCUCCAAGCCAAGAGGUCUAUGUUAGCCCAGGGAGCUAGUGGAGUCCCCAUCCCUGGAGGUGUUCAAGGAAUGACUGGAUGUGGCACUCAGUGCUCUGGUCUAGUUGACAAGGGGGUGAUCACAGGUUGGACUGUUGGACUUGAUGAUCUUGGAGGCCUUCUCCACCCUCAGUGAUUCUGUGAUUCAGUGUUCAGCUGCCAGCUCCAGCCGGCAGAGCCACGAGGGCCUGGCACUCACCUG